GGGGUUGUAGCUCAGUAGUAGAGUACUUGCCUAGCAUGUGUGAGGCCCUGGGUUCAAUCCCCAGCAUCACAU
This 72-nucleotide transfer RNA is filed under the name Urocitellus parryii (Arctic ground squirrel). Its description in RNAcentral is "Spermophilus parryii (Arctic ground squirrel) tRNA". It matches the Rfam family "tRNA". Rfam says of the family: Transfer RNA (tRNA) molecules are approximately 80 nucleotides in length. Their secondary structure includes four short double-helical elements and three loops (D, anti-codon, and T loops). The record is from Rfam by way of RNAcentral. RNAcentral also lists the same sequence under 2 other names. Lineage: Eukaryota; Metazoa; Chordata; Mammalia; Rodentia; Sciuridae.